This 425-nucleotide ribosomal RNA is filed under the name uncultured prokaryote. RNAcentral's name for it is "bacterial SSU rRNA". It matches the Rfam family "Bacterial small subunit ribosomal RNA", at positions 355 to 774 of the family's 1533-position model. The record is from RNAcentral.
UGGGGAAUCAUGGCCAAUGGGCGAAAGCCUGAACCUGCGACGCCGCGUGAGUGAUGAAGGUCGUAAGAUCGUAAAACUCUUUUCAGGGAUCUUAAAGCCUGUCUGUCAACAACAGGCAGGUCUGACUCUCCCUGGAAGAAGCCCCAGCCAACUACGUGCCAGCCGCUGCGGUAAUCCGUAGGGGGCGAGCGUUAUUCGGAAUUACUGGGUGUAAAGGGUAUGUAGGCGGCCCUUCAAGUCGCGUGUCAAAGUCCAGUGCUCAACGCUGGGUGUGCACGCGAUACUGACGGGCUUGAGGGCUGGAGAGGUGAGCGGAAUUCCCGGUGUAGUGGUAAAAUACGUAGAGAUCGGGAGGAACACCAGCGGCGCAGGCGGCUCACUAGACAGUUUCUGACGCUAAGAUACGAAAGCGUGGGGAGCAAACA